RNAcentral lists this ribosomal RNA (916 nucleotides) under Bacillus velezensis. RNAcentral describes it as "bacterial SSU rRNA". It matches the Rfam family "Bacterial small subunit ribosomal RNA", at positions 1 to 863 of the family's 1533-position model. Lineage: Bacteria; Bacillati; Bacillota; Bacilli; Caryophanales; Bacillaceae. The record is from RNAcentral.
GGAUUUUCACAAAAUAUUGGCCGAAAAGGGUUGCCCCCCCUAGAUUUUAAUUCUGGUUCAGGACGAACGCUGGCGGCGUGCCUAAUACAUGCAAGUCGAGCGGACAGAUGCGAGCUUGCUCCCUGAUGUUAGCGGCGGACGGGUGAGUAACACGUGGGUAACCUGCCUGUAAGACUGGGAUAACUCCGGGAUACCGGGGCUAAUACCGGAUGGUUGUCUGAACCGCAUGGUUCAGACAUAAAAGGUGGCUUCGGCUACCACUUACAGAUGGACCCGCGGCGCAUUAGCUAGUUGGUGAGGUAACGGCUCACCAAGGCGACGAUGCGUAGCCGACCUGAGAGGGUGAUCGGCCACACUGGGACUGAGACACGGCCCAGACUCCUACGGGAGGCAGCAGUAGGGAAUCUUCCGCAAUGGACGAAAGUCUGACGGAGCAACGCCGCGUGAGUGAUGAAGGUUUUCGGAUCGUAAAGCUCUGUUGUUAGGGAAGAACAAGUGCCGUUCAAAUAGGGCGGCACCUUGACGGUACCUAACCAGAAAGCCACGGCUAACUACGUGCCAGCAGCCGCGGUAAUACGUAGGUGGCAAGCGUUGUCCGGAAUUAUUGGGCGUAAAGGGCUCGCAGGCGGUUUCUUAAGUCUGAUGUGAAAGCCCCCGGCUCAACCGGGGAGGGUCAUUGGAAACUGGGGAACUUGAGUGCAGAAGAGGAGAGUGGAAUUCCACGUGUAGCGGUGAAAUGCGUAGAGAUGUGGAGGAACACCAGUGGCGAAGGCGACUCUCUGGUCUGUAACUGACGCUGAGGAGCGAAAGCGUGGGGAGCGAACAGGAUUAGAUACCCUGGUAGUCCACGCCGUAAACGAUGAGUGCUAAGUGUUAGGGGGUUUCCGCCCCCUUAGUGCUGCAGCUAACGCAUUAA